This 277-nucleotide ribosomal RNA is filed under the name uncultured bacterium. RNAcentral's name for it is "partial 16S ribosomal RNA". It matches the Rfam family "Bacterial small subunit ribosomal RNA", at positions 28 to 333 of the family's 1533-position model. The record is from RNAcentral.
AACGAACGCUGGCGGCAGGCUUAACACAUGCAAGUCGAACGCCCCUUUCGGGGGGAGUGGCGGACGGGUGAGUAACGCGUGGGAACGUGCCCUCUGGUUCGGAACAACCCCGGGAAACUGGGGCUAAGACCGGAUACGCCCUUUUGGGGAAAGGCUUGCUGCCGGAGGAGCGGCCCGCGUCCGAUUAGCUUGUUGGCGGGGUAACGGCCCACCAAGGCAUCGAUCGGUAGCUGGUCUGAGAGGAUGGCCAGCCACAUUGGGACUGAGACACGGCCCA